Molecule: small nuclear RNA, 107 nt
Organism: Saimiri boliviensis boliviensis (Bolivian squirrel monkey)
Lineage: Eukaryota; Metazoa; Chordata; Mammalia; Primates; Cebidae
Source: Ensembl
GUGCUCGCUUUAGCAGCACAUAUACUAAAAUUGGAAGAAUACAGAGAAGAUUAGCUUGGCCUGUACGCAAGGAUGACAUGCAAAUUUGUGAAGUGUUCCAUAUUUUU